Molecule: transfer RNA, 70 nt
Filed under: Microgaster sp. SNS-2016
Lineage: Eukaryota; Metazoa; Arthropoda; Insecta; Hymenoptera; Braconidae
Description: tRNA-Ser
Source: RNAcentral
AAAAUAAGUAUGAAACAAUAAAAAAUUUCUAAUUUUAUAUAUUUUAUGGUUAAAAUCCAUUUUUAUUUUA